RNAcentral lists this ribosomal RNA (465 nucleotides) under uncultured bacterium. RNAcentral's name for it is "partial 16S ribosomal RNA". It matches the Rfam family "Bacterial small subunit ribosomal RNA", at positions 28 to 507 of the family's 1533-position model. The record is from RNAcentral.
GACGAACGCUGGCGGCGUGCUUAACACAUGCAAGUCGUACGGUAAGGCCCUUUCGGGGGUACACGCGUGGCGAACGGGUGAGUAACACGUGAGUAACCUGCCCACAACUUUGGGAUAACGCUAGGAAACUGGUGCUAAUACUGGCUAUGUGCUCCUGCUGCAUGGUGGGGGUUGGAAAGCUCCGGUGGUUGUGGAUGGACUCGCGGCCUAUCAGCUUGUUGGUGGGGUAGUGGCCUACCAAGGCGGCGACGGGUAGCCGGCCUGCGAGGGUGACCGGCCACAUUGGGACUGAGAUACGGCCCAGACUCCUACGGGGGGCAGCAGUGGGGAAUAUUGCACAAUGGGCGCAAGCCUGAUGCAGCAACGCCGCGUGCGGGAUGACGGCCUUCGGGGUGUAAACCGCUUUCAGCAGGGACGAAGCUUUUUGUGACGGUACCUGCAGAAGAAGCACCGGCUAACUACGUG